RNAcentral lists this ribosomal RNA (301 nucleotides) under uncultured bacterium. RNAcentral's name for it is "partial 16S ribosomal RNA". It matches the Rfam family "Bacterial small subunit ribosomal RNA", at positions 509 to 808 of the family's 1533-position model. The record is from RNAcentral.
CAGUCGCCGCGGUAAUACGAGGGGGGCAAGCGUUGUUCGGAAUUAUUGGGCGUAAAGGGCGCGUAGGCGGUUUGGCAAGUUUGGUGUGAAAUCUUCGGGCUCAACCUAGGAAUUGCAUUUGAUACUGUUUGGCUUGAGUUCGGGAGAGGUGAGUGGAAUUCCCAGUGUAGCAGUGAAAUGCGUAGAGAUGUGGAGGAAUACCGAUGGCGAAGGCAGCCCCCUGGGCCAAUACUGACGCUCAUGCACGAAAGCGUGGGAGCAAACAGGAUUAGAUACCCGCGUAGUCCCUGUCUCUUAUACA